RNAcentral lists this ribosomal RNA (519 nucleotides) under uncultured eukaryote. RNAcentral describes it as "partial 18S ribosomal RNA". It matches the Rfam family "Eukaryotic small subunit ribosomal RNA", at positions 1162 to 1414 of the family's 1831-position model. The record is from RNAcentral.
CGGGCACCACAGGGAGGGGAGCCAGCGGUUUAUUUCAACUCAACAAGGGAAAAUUCCCCCGGCAAGAACACAGUAAGGAUUGACCUACUAUUAGUUUUUUCUGGAUUGGGUGGGGGGGGGGGGAUGGCCGUUAUUAGUUGGUACAUCGAUUCCCUAGUUUAAAACAAAUACCUAACAAAUUUCUAGCUUGUUAAAUAGAAAAGAUUCAAAUAUCGUCGCUCAAAAAAAUUAAUAGACACUACGCGCCGAAAUCUGACGACUCGAUUUCAGCAAUAUGGUGUCUGUCUUGCCAAAUUAUGAAAGCGCCCCACCACGCACUAAAGUGAGGGACAUGAAGUGCCAUCAUUCCCAGGCCAGUACGGGUAAAGUUAUCAUCAAUUUUACCUUCGGAAGGAUCAAAGCCGGAUGUCCUAUCGCAAAGAAAGUCGCUCUAUUGAUGAGCGAGAGUCAAAGACUGUGGUUACAUGUCAACGCCAUGAGUACACAAAACAUUUCUCUAACCCAACUUAAUUGUUUUAG